Molecule: ribosomal RNA, 508 nt
Filed under: uncultured bacterium
Lineage: Bacteria
Description: partial 16S ribosomal RNA
Rfam family: Bacterial small subunit ribosomal RNA
Source: RNAcentral
GAUGAACGCUAGCUACAGGCUUAACACAUGCAAGUCGAGGGGAAACGAUAUUGGAAGCUUGCUUCCGAUAGGCGUCGACCGGCGCACGGGUGAGUAACGCGUAUCCAACCUGCCCAUCACUUGGGGAUAACCUUGCGAAAGUAAGACUAAUACCCAAUGAUAUCCCUAGAAGACAUCUGAAAGGGAUUAAAGAUUUAUCGGUGAUGGAUGGGGAGACGUCUGAUUAGCUUGUUGGCGGGGUAACGGCCCACCAAGGCGACGAUCAGUAGGGGGUCUGAGAGGAAGGUCCACCACAUUGGAACUGAGACACGGUCCAAACUCCGACGGGAGUCAGCAGUGAGGAAUAUUGGUCAAUGGACGAGAGUCUGAACCAGCCAAGUAGCGUGCAGGAUGACGGCCCUAUGGGUUGUAAACUGCUUUUAUAAGGGAAUAAAGUGAGCCUCGUGAGGCUUUUUGCAUGUACCUUAUGAAUAAGGACCGGCUAAUUCCGUGCCAGCCGCCGCAGUAA